Molecule: ribosomal RNA, 468 nt
Filed under: uncultured bacterium
Lineage: Bacteria
Description: partial 16S ribosomal RNA
Rfam family: Bacterial small subunit ribosomal RNA
Source: RNAcentral
GACGAACGCUGGCGGCGUGCUUAACACAUGCCAGUCGAACGGAAAGGCCCUGCUUUUGUGGGGUGCUCGAGUGGCGAACGGGUGAGUAACACGUGAGUAACCUGCCCUUGACUUUGGGAUAACUUCAGGAAACUGGGGCCAAUACCGGAUCGGAGCUCCUGCUGCAUGGUGGGGGUUGGAAAGUUUCGGCGGUUGGGGAUGGACUCGCGGCUUAUCAGCUUGUUGGUGGGGUAGUGGCUUACCAAGGCUUUGACGGGUAGCCGGCCUGAGAGGGUGACCGGCCACAUUGGGACUGAGAUACGGCCCAGACUCCUACGGGAGGCAGCAGUGGGGAAUAUUGCACAAUGGGCGGAAGCCUGAUGCAGCAACGCCGCGUGCGGGAUGACGGCCUUCGGGUUGUAAACCGCUUUCGCCUGUGACGAAGCGUGAGUGACGGUAAUGGGUAAAGAAGCACCGGCUAACUACGUG